This 253-nucleotide ribosomal RNA is filed under the name uncultured bacterium. RNAcentral describes it as "partial 16S ribosomal RNA". It matches the Rfam family "Bacterial small subunit ribosomal RNA", at positions 524 to 776 of the family's 1533-position model. The record is from RNAcentral.
UACAGAGGGGGCAAGCGUUGUUCGGAAUUACUGGGCGUAAAGGGCGCGUAGGCGGCCUUCUAAGUCGAACGUGAAAUCCCCGGGCUCAACCCGGGAACUGCGUCCGAUACUGGAAGGCUUGAAUCCGGGAGAGGGAUGCGGAAUUCCAGGUGUAGCGGUGAAAUGCGUAGAUAUCAGGAGGAAUACCAGAGGCGAAGGCGGCUACCUGGACAAUUGCUGACGCUCAGGCACGAAAGCGUGGGGAGCAAAAGGG